UCCUCUCUUUGUGGCGGCGAUCUGUG
RNAcentral lists this non-coding RNA (26 nucleotides) under Homo sapiens (human). Lineage: Eukaryota; Metazoa; Chordata; Mammalia; Primates; Hominidae. The record is from RNAcentral.